AAUGUAGGUUAAUCUUAAAAAAAAAAUGUGUAUUGAAAAACCCUGAAGCUGUUUGGUCAACUCUAACCUAUGGGAGCUGUGGAAAAUUUGACAGGUCAUUUCACUUGUUUAUUGGUCAAUAUUAUUGCUUUGUGAUACAGCGAACAACCACAAAAUUAUUUCUCUUUUGCUUAGCCAGGCACUAAGAGUGGGAAGGAAACUGGUAAUACCAGUACAUGCCCCAAUCUGGAAAAGUUGAAUAGACAUUCCUUAAUUUCCUUUGUGACUAUGAAAAUGAAAGUUCUUUCUUCACAGAGAGGAAACAACCUAGACAUCAUAAAAGAAAUACCGAUAUCACCACUUCUUUUAAGAUGAAAAGAUAACAUUUUAUGCACAUGACAGAGUAGGCAAUGUUCAACCCUUGAAUCUAUCAAAUCAGUAUAAUUUCAUGGAGGAUCAGCACUUUCAAGCUUUUACGAUUUAACUGCUUUUAAUGGUUUUUGGUAAUUAUACUGUUAUCAUCAUUUUAAAAUAAGUAUAAUUGGUACGCUCUUCAGGGAUUGAACAGGAAAACAUGGUAUUGUUUUGCCACAGAGAGAGAGAGAGAGAGAGAGAGAGAGAGAGAGAGAUUGAUUACUGGAGGAAGGAAAAAAGGAAUGAAGGAAAAAAGGAAGAAGAAAGAGAGAGUAUAAAAACCAUUGCAAGAAAUUACAGGAAAACACAGAAGCCAG
RNAcentral lists this long non-coding RNA (710 nucleotides) under Bos indicus x Bos taurus (hybrid cattle). RNAcentral describes it as "lncRNA (ENSBIXG00000023769.1)". Lineage: Eukaryota; Metazoa; Chordata; Mammalia; Artiodactyla; Bovidae. The record is from RNAcentral.